UUUUCCCCAAAUUUCCCCCUAAAACCCAAAAACGAAAAAAAUCCCAAAUUUCCCCCUAAAAUGGAGGCACCAAAGACGAUUCAUCUUCUUUGAUGAGAGUAGCAGUGUGAGGAAUGGGAAUUCAUUUUCUCAUUUGUUGAAACCUGAAUUCAGAGAGAUAUUGAAUUUUGGUAAGAGUAAGAGAAGUGGGAAUGGGAAUUUGUUCAUAGGAAACUCUCUGUUCUUCGUGGAGAACAAGAAGAGGUUGCCUAAUUCGAGAGGGAGCAACGAAGAAGCUAUGCUUUCGUUUACUUCAGCGCUUGAGAAUUUAAAAGAUCAUGCUGGAAAAUAUGCGACUGGAGAUGAAGUUUCCAUGAUCUGUUUCUAGCACUACAGAUUCUGGCUGGGAUUGAACGAUUCAAUGUAAUCUGCUUAUUCCAUUAACUACUAGUUUCUGCAUCCAAUUGAUAUUUGUUCACUUUUAACUCAUUUGAAGUUGCCAUUCCUCUCCUCACACUCAAACGCAGGUAUGUAUUCUUGGCUUUUCUAUUUGCUCUUAUGCUUCUAAAAUUUUUAUGAGUUAGAGGGAGAAAUAUUGCUUCAUAUAUCACCAUCCUCCUAAGAUUUUUCAGUGACACUAAAUAAAAAUUUUCAGCUCUGGACUCAGGUUUCUUUUUUACUUGGACUUGUACACACACAUAUAUUACAUUAUGCAAAAGACACAUAUAUCACAAAAUUACUUUCUUAACUUUUUAUAUUAUAUAUAUGUUUUAUAAGAUUAGCUUUAGCUCUCAGUUUUCACUUUCACAUUGAGUUAUUUGAGCAUUUUUCAUAUUUCUUUCUAAUGUGGGACAGAUUUCAAUUUCUUAAAAAGGAAAAAUUAUAUUGUUUUUUUUGCCUCAAUCCUCUUUAUUUGUCUCUUUAACCGCAUUGGAUAUGGAGUCUAUGUUGUCUUUUCUUUUCAGUUUUUCCAUUUUAGAUUUAUAGUUAAACUUCAAAGUGGUUCUGCUUCAAGUUAAGACAGUGGGGUUUUUUACAUUGAUCAUCUUAAGUUUAUUUGUUCUAUGUUUUUUGGCCGUCAUGUCAUGUGUCCAUCUAAUAUAGCAAUGAUAGAUUUUAAAGCCUGGGAAGUAUGAAGUUUUGGUAGGCUAUGGUCUGCAUUAUUUUCCUUUUGCUUAUUUGGACUUUGAAUGUACAUUUUUGGUAACUUUUGUUUUAUGAUUUAUCAGGAUAAGAAAAGAAUAUUUUGUUUCUUCCUUUUACUCUUUUAUGUUUAUGUUAGAUGUAAUGGGACUUGAGAGUGCAUGAUGUUAAAAUUUUAUGAUAAAUGAUCAUUUAUUUUGCCAAGAAAAUUGGUCAGAAGUGAGCGUUUUGAUUUUUAAAUCUUUUCUAGCGUUUUGAAUUUUAGGAAUUAUAUAUAUAUAAACAGAUAAUAUUACGGCUGCCCGAUGACUCAAAAGUGAGCGAUAAAUUAUGGGAUGAGGUGAUAGAGUUAAUGAAAUUUCGGGUGGUGGACAAGGUUCUGUUAAUUCAUACGCUUGCAGGCCGGGUGCUUUCACGAGUUGUAAAUGAUUCUGAAAAUAGCGACAUUCUUGAUUUAUUUCUCGAAGCCCUUCCAUUGGAUCAGAACUCGCAAAAUGCAUAACUUAUUGCUGAAGUUAUACAACCACGUUCUCUGCAUUCUGAUGACCAGUUUUGAAGUUUAGGAUUUCAGAAUUGAAAUGGAUUUCCAGCUUGGAGGAUGCAUAGAGCCUGGAGAAGGUUAUGAUAAAUAAUGUACUUGUUGUUGCACUUAUAUUAAAUAUUGUACCCUUUUUUGCGAAAUUGUUGUCUUUUGAAAUAUCUUUAAGAUUAAGGAACUAUACUAAAUGCGGUCACAAAACUUAUGUAAUUCUAAUAUAGAAUGUAAACAAUUUUCUUAUGUAAUUCUAAUAUAGAAUGUAUCUUGUUUUAUUUUCUUAA
Gossypium raimondii (Peruvian cotton) is the source of this 1941-nucleotide long non-coding RNA. RefSeq lists it as uncharacterized. The transcript is spliced from 4 exons. Lineage: Eukaryota; Viridiplantae; Streptophyta; Magnoliopsida; Malvales; Malvaceae. The record is from RefSeq and is a predicted model, not a curated record.